RNAcentral lists this ribosomal RNA (388 nucleotides) under uncultured bacterium. Its description in RNAcentral is "bacterial SSU rRNA". It matches the Rfam family "Bacterial small subunit ribosomal RNA", at positions 30 to 416 of the family's 1533-position model. The record is from RNAcentral.
AUUGAACGCUGGCGGCAUGCCUUACACAUGCAAGUCGAACGGCAGCACGGGUGCUUGCACCUGGUGGCGAGUGGCGAACGGGUGAGUAAUAUAUCGGAACGUACCUUAUUGUGGGGGAUAACGCAGCGAAAGCUGUGCUAAUACCGCAUAAUCCCUUAGGGGGAAAGCGGGGGACCGUAAGGCCUCGCGCAAUUAGAGCGGCCGAUACCUGAUUAGCUAGUUGGUGAGGUAAAGGCUCACCAAGGCAACGAUCAGUAGCUGGUCUGAGAGGACGAUCAGCCACACUGGGACUGAGACACGGCCCAGACUCCUACGGGAGGCAGCAGUGGGGAAUUUUGGACAAUGGGCGAAAGCCUGAUCCAGCCAUGCCGCGUGAGUGAAGAAGGCC